GCCCUACGGGGGGCAGCAGUGGGGAAUAUUGCACAAUGGGGGAAACCCUGAUGCAGCGACGCCGCGUGAGUGAAGAAGUAUUUCGGUAUGUAAAGCUCUAUCAGCAGGGAAGAUAAUGACGGUACCUGACUAAGAAGCCCCGGCUAACUACGUGCCAGCAGCCGCGGUAAUACGUAGGGGGCAAGCGUUAUCCGGAUUUACUGGGUGUAAAGGGAGCGUAGGUGGCAGGGCAAGUCUGAUGUGAAAACCCGGGGCCCAACCCCGGGAGUGCAUUGGAAACUGCCAGGCUGGAGUGUCGGAGGGGG
Molecule: ribosomal RNA, 305 nt
Filed under: uncultured bacterium
Lineage: Bacteria
Description: bacterial SSU rRNA
Rfam family: Bacterial small subunit ribosomal RNA
Source: RNAcentral